UGAUAGUUGGUAUGCAUGGCAAUAAGGUGGGUCAAUGGUAGAUUUUGCUCCCCCAUCCCUACCCUUAAAAGGUGUCAAACAGGUUGGAUUCGCCCCGUCUAACCUAACUUACACGAGACAAAUAUUAUUUUAGGCUACGUUAGCUUAACCUAAAUUCUUUUUUAUUCUAUUUUUUGGUCCAACUUGACCCAUGUUAGGCCAGAUUAAAUUGGCCUAAUUAAAAAUAUGAAAAAAAUUAAAUCUAUUUUUUUACAAUGAAAAAAAAGUAAAAUUAUAAUAUGAUUAAUUGAUAUUUUACACUAGUUAUAAAUGAGCAUAGCUAGUCACAAAUGUGAUCAAUUGUUGAAGUGUUUUUACAAUUGGAUUUAAAAUAAUGAUUUAACAAUUUAUUCACAAUUUAAACCCUUUCAAAUUCAACACAACUAUAUGGAAGAUCAUGCUUAAUAAUACAUUUAGGAAGUGCAUCUCUAUAAGUCUUAGGAUCAAAUUUUCAUUGUUUCAAUGAACUAAAUGUUGUAUAUAAGGUAUUAAAAAAGGAAGAAGUCCCACAUUGGCUAGUAUUGUCUUUGGAGAAUGGUUUAUAUAUCAAGUUAUGAUAUAAACAUAUAAAGAGGUUAGUAAGAAUAGUGAGGCUUGUGCACAUAUACUUGGACCAAGGAGGUUGUUGUAGUGUAAGUUAAUCAAUUUGCCACCUAAGCAUGAGAUGCACAGGCUUCUCACAAAUUUUUACGUCCUUUUGAUAUUAUUUUAAAUAAUUUCAAAAAUUAAGGGGCUUCAAGAGAGUAACGAUUUUAACAUCUUUUGAAAUUGAUUACUCAUAAUAUCUCAUUUUAAUGGUUUUUUUAUUUUUUGAUAGUAACAAUCAUGUUUUGAUGUGUUUAUUUUAUAGGAGUUGUGUUGGGUGUUAGGUUGGAUCAACUAAAGGAAAUUAUAAAACGGUUUCUCUUCAAGAGAGAAGGACUAGAGAGAGGUUUCUUUGAGUGAACCUUCCCCUUAUUCUUUUUUCCUCUACGGCUGAGAAGCCCUUUUCUUCCUUCCUUAUAACUGAUUAGAGGCAUGGUGGUGAGGAUUCUGAGUUGGUGAAGUUGAGGAUCUCUCCUUGUAGUUGUACGGAGCUCGUUGUCUUUUCAGUUCCUUUUAUCAGUUUCAAAUUGUCAACGAGAUAAAGGAAGCUUGCAUUGUUUCCAUGUGAUUAGGUGUGAGGCUUUGCGAUAGCAAGAAGUCUUUUUGGGUAACUGCUUUAAGAGAUGGCUAGACUUAGAGCUUGACCAGCACCUAGGGUGUCUCAUUUUGAUACUUUCAUAAUAUUGUAAUUAUAUUAUCUUUUUGGAUUACUGUAUAAUCUUUAUUGAGGAUGAUGACUCUGUUAUAAAAAUAUGUUAUAUAUUUUAGAAACAAUUUAUAUGUUAUUGUAUAUUUACAUUCUA
This is a non-coding RNA of Cajanus cajan (pigeon pea), 1427 nucleotides long. NCBI's taxonomy places the organism in Eukaryota, Viridiplantae, Streptophyta, Magnoliopsida, Fabales, Fabaceae. The record is from RefSeq and is a predicted model, not a curated record.